RNAcentral lists this ribosomal RNA (374 nucleotides) under uncultured bacterium. Its description in RNAcentral is "bacterial SSU rRNA". It matches the Rfam family "Bacterial small subunit ribosomal RNA", at positions 524 to 898 of the family's 1533-position model. The record is from RNAcentral.
CACGGAGGGUGCAAGCGUUGUUCGGAAUCACUGGGCGUAAAGGGCGCGCAGGCGGUUUGGUAAGUCAGAUGUGAAGGCCCACGGCUUAACCGUGGAAGUGCAUUAGAAACUGCCAGACUUGAGUACCAGAGGGGAAAGUGGAAUUCCCGGUGUAGAGGUGAAAUUCGUAGAUAUGUGGAGGAACACCGAUGGCGAAGGCAGCCUCCUGGGAUAACACUGACGCUCAUGCACGAAAGCGUGGGGAGCAAACAGGAUUAGAUACCCUGGUAGUCCACGCCCUAAACGAUGUCAACUGGUUGUUGGGAGAGAAAUCUUUCAGUAACGAAGCUAACGCGUGAAGUUGACCGCCUGGGGAGUACGGCCGCAAGGUUGAA